Molecule: long non-coding RNA, 1738 nt
Organism: Oreochromis niloticus (Nile tilapia)
Lineage: Eukaryota; Metazoa; Chordata; Actinopteri; Cichliformes; Cichlidae
Exons: 2
Source: RefSeq, a predicted model, not a curated record
UUGAUAAGCAUAGGCAAGGCUUCAUGUUUAUCAGGGUGAAUCGUCAUUCAGAGUUUACACAAUCACAAGCAAAGCAUAUUUGAAUAAUAAACAAAAUCUUUUCACAUACAUAUAAUGCAUGAAAUGGCAAUAAUGCAAUUUCUAGAGGGUUUCAGCAGCUUAUGAGAUCACUGUGUAGCAGGUAGACUUGAACUACAGAAUUAAUGAAGUUGAAUAAAAAUGGACCAAUACUAUUAGUUACCAUCCAUCUAUCUGUUUUGUCUCUACUUAUCCAGUUCAGGGUAGUGGUGAUGCGGUCCUAUCCCAGCUGCCACAAGGUGAGAAGCAGGAUACAUCCUGGACCUUCACGGUGCUAUGGGCUUUGGACUGUUUGGGUUUUGCUUCUUUGAAUCAUUGGUUGUAUUAUUUAUAUUUGUCCUUUAUCUCCCAGCAUUCUCUGUUCCUUGAUUAAGUACUAUUUAGUUUAUUCCCUUUUGUGUUUCAUUCUGUUCUGGUCUCAUCUCAGUGUUUUUUUCCCUCUUGUGUUUCUUGUGUAAGUUAAUCUUUUCUCCCCAUUCAGUUGUAUCUGUCUUCUGCAGACAUAAUGCCUUUGGAAUUAGGAUAUUUGCAACAGAGCACUGGAAAAUGCCAGGUUUCAUUAUCACCUUUAGAUAGGCAAUUGGGUUUUUAUCCAUGAUGUGGAUUCUGUGAAAACCACAGUUUGUGAUAGAUGUGGCAAUCCAACGAAACAUCAACAUCAGGAAGAAGCAGCAUGAGAAAAUAGAAGCAUCAGCUGGAGCAGAUGUGAAAGGUAAAGUUUAAAGUUGUCCCAGUGUAACUCAAGAGUGUCUCCAACAGAUUCCAGGUACAAGGUCCGAGUGGAGUGGAGUCCUAGGAAUAGCUAGAAUACUACACAGAACCCUCGGACUUCCAGGCCUCUGGUAGAGGACCCAAGCUUCAGGAUCAGACACAUGCUAUCCCACCAGAGGGGUCAUGUCAGUUGCUUACAUGAGACUGUGACAAGUGGAAAAAGUCCAGUGUGUGUGUUGUUUCACACCUUUGAAGACAAGCUGCCCCCUCCUCAUUGAGGAGCAUGCUCAGCCUUGUGUCAGGAGGCUCAGAGCCCCAUGACGCCUGGUCUGUCCUGCACGCUCUGGUCCACACUCUCACUCCCUGACAUGUGCCAGCGAUCGCUAAUCCUCCACUGACGCCUCUCGGAAGCAUCACAUUCAACAACAGAACAAUAAAUGCCCACUGCACUGACCUCAGAGAAUUGUCGCCUCUUGCUACAUCAGCCAGGAUCUCCCAUCUUCUGCUUGUGGAAGACCAUAUUGGUUACAUAGAACCUAAUAUGGCAUAACACAAAAGGCUUCUUUAUGACACAUGUGGCUGCAUGAAAAGUCUUUGUUGUCUUUAGGAUUAAGAGUUGGAGAUUUGAAUGUUUGAAGGGAAUAUGUCUAAAAAGACAGGAUGUUGAUUGAAUUUUAAUUACAACAGAGCCGAUUAGAUAACAAUAUGGUGCAGGAGUUAAAAGCGGGAAACAUGUGCCAGCCAGUGCGUCUGUUUGAAUUAUCGGCUGUAAGCUUUGUUUGGAUGUUGUUUGGAUGACUCAUACAGAGCAGCAUCUGUGUUCUCCAGAGAUAAAUCUGACCAUUAUUGGUCAUAUUGUUUAGAUUAAUGACUAUCCUGUAUGAUGUAAUGACAUGUUGUGUGGGUAUUUUGAGUUCUUAAUACAGCAGAUUAAAAACAAUUGAAGUUA